Long non-coding RNA from Astatotilapia calliptera (eastern happy), 582 nucleotides. The record is from Ensembl. NCBI's taxonomy places the organism in Eukaryota, Metazoa, Chordata, Actinopteri, Cichliformes, Cichlidae.
UUUUUGUACAACUUCAUAUAAAUCGCUGUAACUUUUGAUAGAAGACUCAGACAAACAUGUUUAUGGCUUUAUCUUAUAGAACUCAAGGUCCCCGUGCUGGGCAAACAGGUUUUGCAGCCGUUUGAGCUAAGAUUUUAAAAUUAUUCACAUAAUGAAAACCUAUACUUUGUCUCGGGCGAGUUUCCCAUUCAAAUGCAUGUAACAGUGAGAAACACACUGUCUUGGCGAAAUAAAGCGUUUUUCAACCACUUCAUAUAAAUCGCUGUAACUUUUGAUAGAAGACUCAGACAAACAUGUUUAUGGCUUUAUCUUAUAGAACUCAAUAUCCCCGUGCUGGGCAAACAGGAUUUGCAGCUGUUUGAGCUAAGAUUUUAAAGUUAUUCACAUAAUGAAAACCUAUACUUUGUUUCGGCGAGUUUCCCCAUUCAAAUGCAUGUAACAGUGAGAAACGCACUGUCUUGGCGAAAGAAAGCGUUUUUGUACAACUUCAUAUAAAUCGCUGUAACUUUUGAUAGAAGACUCAGACAAACAUGUUUAUGGCUUUAUCUUAUAGAACUCAAUAUCCCCGUGCUGGGCAAACAG